This 240-nucleotide unclassified non-coding RNA is filed under the name soil metagenome. Its description in RNAcentral is "partial contains 5.8S ribosomal RNA, internal transcribed spacer 2, and large subunit ribosomal RNA". The record is from RNAcentral.
AACGCACGAGACCUGCGGACCUGCGGAGGGAUCAUUAACGAGUUAGGGUCUUCCAGGCCCGACCUCCCAACCCUUUGUUUACUGAACCACUGUUGCUUCGGCGGGCCCGUCUUACGACCGCCGGAGGAUCGCUGAAAGGCGUGUCCUCUGGCCCGUGUCCGCCGAGAGCCAACCACUUAAAUUCUGUAUGAAUCGUGUCUUAUGUCUAAGUCUAUGAUUUAAAUGAAAAGCAAAACUUUC